This is a long non-coding RNA of Homo sapiens (human), 877 nucleotides long. Ensembl annotates it as carboxylesterase 1 pseudogene 1. Its record names the gene CES1P1. The record is from Ensembl. Lineage: Eukaryota; Metazoa; Chordata; Mammalia; Primates; Hominidae.
CGCCAGGGCUGGACAGCACAGUCCCUCUGAGCUGCACGGAGACCUCGCAGGCCCCCGGAACUGUCGCCCUUCCAGGAUGUGGCUCCCUGCUCUUGUCCUGGCCACUCUCGCUGCUUCCGCGGCUUGGGCAGGGCAUCUGUCCUCGCCACCUUUGGUGGACACCCUGCAUGGCAAAGUGUUGGGGAAGUUCGUCAGCUUAGAAGGAUUUGCACAGCCUGUGGCCGUUUUCCUGGGAAUCCCUUUUGCCAAGCCGCCUCUUGGACCCCUGAGGUUUACUCUACCACAGCCUGCAGAGCCAUGGAACUUUGUGAAGAAUGCCACCUCGUACCCUCCUAUGUUCACCCAAGAUCCCAAGGCGGGGCAGUUAAUCUCAGAGCUAUUUACAAACUGAAAAGAGAACAUUCCUCUCAAGCUUUCUGAAGACUGUCUUUACCUCAAUAUUUACACUCCUGCUGACUUGACCAAGAAAAACAGGCUGCCGGUGAUGGUGUGGAUCCACGGAGGGGGGCUGAUGGUGGGUGCGGCAUCAACCUACGAUGGGCUGGCCCUUGCUGCCCAUGAAAACGUGGUGGUGGUGACCAUUCAAUAUCGCCUGGGCAUCUGGGGAUUCUUCAGCACAGGGGAUGAACACAGCCCGGGGAACUGGGGUCACCUGGACCAGCUGGCUGCCCUGCACUGGGUCCAGGACAACAUUGCCAGCUUUGGAGGGAACCCAGGCUCUGUGACCAUCUUUGGAGGGUCAGUGGGAGGAGAAAGUGUCUCUGUUCUUGUUUUGUCUCCAUUGGCCAAGAACCUCUUCCACCGGGCCAUUUCUGAGAGUGGCGUGGCCCUCACUUCUGUUCUGGUGAAGAAAGGUGAUGUCAAGCCCUUGGCUGAG